This 406-nucleotide long non-coding RNA is filed under the name Chloebia gouldiae (Gouldian finch). RNAcentral describes it as "Erythrura gouldiae (Gouldian finch) lncRNA (ENSEGOG00005005295.1)". Lineage: Eukaryota; Metazoa; Chordata; Aves; Passeriformes; Passeridae. The record is from RNAcentral.
CCACUGUACACUACAGAGAUUUCGUGGAAAUCGUGAAAGCUGAAGCCCCACCUGAUAUGAGCUGUCCCUGCAGUCAGCAGGGCCACCCUGACCUAAACCAGGUGUUUGCAGGCUUUGCAAGACAGUGGAACUCUGAUGAUGGAUCCUGAAGCACAAGUUGGAGCCUAGAAAAGGAGGUUGAGAUAUGAAAACAUCAACCAUGGAAAUGCAGUGAUCAGAAUAAAAAGAGUCCAAGGGAGAGGUUCUCUCUAUAUAAGUGAACGCUUCUGUUGUUCCCUGUUGUGGUGUCCAAUAAGCACAGCCACUCGUGGUUUCUCAGGUCCCUCAGAGCACUUAUCCAGUCUCAUUUUAGCUCCUGCCUCAAGAAGCAGAUAAUUGUCCAUCUUUAAGAUUUUCACUGGAGUAG